GGUCAAGUGAAGAAGCGCAUACGGUGGAUGCCUUGGCAGUCAGAGGCGAUGAAAGACGUGGUAGCCUGCGAAAAGCUUCGGGGAGUCGGCAAACAGACUUUGAUCCGGAGAUCUCUGAAUGGGGGAACCCACCUAGGAUAACCUAGGUAUCUUGUACUGAAUCCAUAGGUGCAAGAGGCGAACCAGGGGAACUGAAACAUCUAAGUACCCUGAGGAAAAGAAAUCAACCGAGAUUCCCUUAGUAGUGGCGAGCGAACGGGGAUUAGCCCUUAAGCUUCAUUGAUUUUAGCGGAACGCUCUGGAAAGUGCGGCCAUAGUGGGUGAUAGCCCCGUACGCGAAAGGAUCUUUGAAGUGAAAUCGAGUAGGACGGAGCACGAGAAACUUUGUCUGAACAUGGGGGGACCAUCCUCCAAGGCUAAAUACUACUGACUGACCGAUAGUGAACCAGUACCGUGAGGGAAAGGCGAAAAGAACCCCGGAGAGGGGAGUGAAAUAGAACCUGAAACCGUAUGCGUACAAGCAGUGGGAGCCUACUUGUUAGGUGACUGCGUACCUUUUGUAUAAUGGGUCAGCGACUUAUAUUCAGUGGCAAGCUUAACCGUAUAGGGUAGGCGUAGCGAAAGCGAGUCUUAAUAGGGCGUUUAGUCGCUGGGUAUAGACCCGAAACCGGGCGAUCUAUCCAUGAGCAGGUUGAAGGUUAGGUAACACUGACUGGAGGACCGAACCCACUCCCGUUGAAAAGGUAGGGGAUGACUUGUGGAUCGGAGUGAAAGGCUAAUCAAGCUCGGAGAUAGCUGGUUCUCCUCGAAAGCUAUUUAGGUAGCGCCUCAUGUAUCACUCUGGGGGGUAGAGCACUGUUUCGGCUAGGGGGUCAUCCCGACUUACCAAACCGAUGCAAACUCCGAAUACCCAGAAGUGCCGAGCAUGGGAGACACACGGCGGGUGCUAACGUCCGUCGUGAAAAGGGAAACAACCCAGACCGCCAGCUAAGGUCCCAAAGUUGUGGUUAAGUGGUAAACGAUGUGGGAAGGCUUAGACAGCUAGGAGGUUGGCUUAGAAGCAGCCACCCUUUAAAGAAAGCGUAAUAGCUCACUAGUCGAGUCGGCCUGCGCGGAAGAUGUAACGGGGCUCAAACCACACACCGAAGCUGCGGGUGUCACGUAAGUGACGCGGUAGAGGAGCGUUCUGUAAGCCUGUGAAGGUGAGUUGAGAAGCUUGCUGGAGGUAUCAGAAGUGCGAAUGCUGACAUGAGUAACGACAAUGGGUGUGAAAAACACCCACGCCGAAAGACCAAGGGUUCCUGCGCAACGUUAAUCGACGCAGGGUUAGUCGGUUCCUAAGGCGAGGCUGAAAAGCGUAGUCGAUGGGAAACAGGUUAAUAUUCCUGUACUUCUGGUUACUGCGAUGGAUGGGACGGAGAAGGCUAGGCCAGCUUGGCGUUGGUUGUCCAAGUUUAAGGUGGUAGGCUGAAAUCUUAGGUAAAUCCGGGGUUUCAAGGCCGAGAGCUGAUGACGAGUCGUCUUUUAGAUGACGAAGUGGUUGAUGCCAUGCUUCCAAGAAAAGCUUCUAAGCUUCAGGUAACCAGGAACCGUACCCCAAACCGACACAGGUGGUCGGGUAGAGAAUACCAAGGCGCUUGAGAGAACUCGGGUGAAGGAACUAGGCAAAAUGGCACCGUAACUUCGGGAGAAGGUGCGCCGGCUAGGGUGAAGGAUUUACUCCGUAAGCUCUGGCUGGUCGAAGAUACCAGGCCGCUGCGACUGUUUAUUAAAAACACAGCACUCUGCAAACACGAAAGUGGACGUAUAGGGUGUGACGCCUGCCCGGUGCCGGAAGGUUAAUUGAUGGGGUUAGCGCAAGCGAAGCUCUUGAUCGAAGCCCCGGUAAACGGCGGCCGUAACUAUAACGGUCCUAAGGUAGCGAAAUUCCUUGUCGGGUAAGUUCCGACCUGCACGAAUGGCGUAACGAUGGCGGCGCUGUCUCCACCCGAGACUCAGUGAAAUUGAAAUCGCUGUGAAGAUGCAGUGUAUCCGCGGCUAGACGGAAAGACCCCGUGAACCUUUACUGUAGCUUUGCACUGGACUUUGAGCCUGCUUGUGUAGGAUAGGUGGGAGGCUUUGAAGCGUGGACGCCAGUUCGCGUGGAGCCAUCCUUGAAAUACCACCCUGGCAUGCUUGAGGUUCUAACUCUGGUCCGUAAUCCGGAUCGAGGACAGUGUAUGGUGGGCAGUUUGACUGGGGCGGUCUCCUCCUAAAGAGUAACGGAGGAGUACGAAGGUGCGCUCAGACCGGUCGGAAAUCGGUCGCAGAGUAUAAAGGCAAAAGCGCGCUUGACUGCGAGACAGACACGUCGAGCAGGUACGAAAGUAGGUCUUAGUGAUCCGGUGGUUCUGUAUGGAAGGGCCAUCGCUCAACGGAUAAAAGGUACUCCGGGGAUAACAGGCUGAUACCGCCCAAGAGUUCAUAUCGACGGCGGUGUUUGGCACCUCGAUGUCGGCUCAUCACAUCCUGGGGCUGAAGCCGGUCCCAAGGGUAUGGCUGUUCGCCAUUUAAAGUGGUACGCGAGCUGGGUUUAGAACGUCGUGAGACAGUUCGGUCCCUAUCUGCCGUGGACGUUUGAGAUUUGAGAGGGGCUGCUCCUAGUACGAGAGGACCGGAGUGGACGAACCUCUGGUGUUCCGGUUGUCACGCCAGUGGCAUUGCCGGGUAGCUAUGUUCGGAAAAGAUAACCGCUGAAAGCAUCUAAGCGGGAAACUUGCCUCAAGAUGAGAUCUCACUGGGAACUUGAUUCCCCUGAAGGGCCGUCGAAGACUACGACGUUGAUAGGCUGGGUGUGUAAGCGUUGUGAGGCGUUGAGCUAACCAGUACUAAUUGCCCGUGAGGCUUGACCAU
This 2892-nucleotide ribosomal RNA is filed under the name Pseudomonas aeruginosa. Its description in RNAcentral is "23S ribosomal RNA". It matches the Rfam family "Bacterial large subunit ribosomal RNA". Lineage: Bacteria; Pseudomonadati; Pseudomonadota; Gammaproteobacteria; Pseudomonadales; Pseudomonadaceae. The record is from RNAcentral.